Molecule: ribosomal RNA, 319 nt
Filed under: uncultured eukaryote
Lineage: Eukaryota
Description: partial 18S ribosomal RNA
Rfam family: Eukaryotic small subunit ribosomal RNA
Source: RNAcentral
CCCUUAGAUGUUCUGGGCAGCACGCGCGCUACACUGGUACAAUCACUAAGUUUCUGAGUAGUUAUGCUUGGGCAAUCUUGAAAACUGUACCGUGACAGGGCUUGACUGUUGAAAUUUUCUGUCACUAACGAGGAAUUCCUAGUAAAUGUGGGUCAUGAACUCACGUUGAUUACGUCCCUGCCCUUUGUACACACCGCCCGUCGCUCCUACCGAUUGAAUGUUCCGGUGAAUUCUUCGGAGUCUGCGGUAUCAAUGUUUCAUUAUACCAUAGGCGAAGUUGCGUAAACCUUAACAUUUAGAGGAAGGAGAAGUCGUAACA